RNAcentral lists this transfer RNA (66 nucleotides) under Marmota monax (woodchuck). Its description in RNAcentral is "tRNA.Undet". The record is from RNAcentral. Lineage: Eukaryota; Metazoa; Chordata; Mammalia; Rodentia; Sciuridae.
GGUUGUGGCUCAGUGGUAGAGCACUCACCUAGAACACACGAGGCCUGGGUUCGAUCCUCAGCACCA